AGCUUGCUCUUAUGAAGUUAGCGGCGGACGGGUGAGUAACACGUGGGUAACCUGCCCAUAAGACUGGGAUAACUCCGGGAAACCGGGGCUAAUACCGGAUAACAUUUUGCACCGCAUGGUGCGAAAUUGAAAGGCGGCUUCGGCUGUCACUUAUGGAUGGACCCGCGUCGCAUUAGCUAGUUGGUGAGGUAACGGCUCACCAAGGCAACGAUGCGUAGCCGACCUGAGAGGGUGAUCGGCCACACUGGGACUGAGACACGGCCCAGACUCCUACGGGAGGCAGCAGUAGGGAAUCUUCCGCAAUGGACGAAAGUCUGACGGAGCAACGCCGCGUGAGUGAUGAAGGCUUUCGGGUCGUAAAACUCUGUUGUUAGGGAAGAACAAGUGCUAGUUGAAUAAGCUGGCACCUUGACGGUACCUAACCAGAAAGCCACGGCUAACUACGUGCCAGCAGCCGCGGUAAUACGUAGGUGGCAAGCGUUAUCCGGAAUUAUUGGGCGUAAAGCGCGCGCAGGUGGUUUCUUAAGUCUGAUGUGAAAGCCCACGGCUCAACCGUGGAGGGUCAUUGGAAACUGGGAGACUUGAGUGCAGAAGAGGAAAGUGGAAUUCCAUGUGUAGCGGUGAAAUGCGUAGAGAUAUGGAGGAACACCAGUGGCGAAGGCGACUUUCUGGUCUGUAACUGACACUG
Molecule: ribosomal RNA, 688 nt
Filed under: uncultured Bacillus sp.
Lineage: Bacteria; Bacillati; Bacillota; Bacilli; Caryophanales; Bacillaceae
Description: bacterial SSU rRNA
Rfam family: Bacterial small subunit ribosomal RNA
Source: RNAcentral